GGGGAAUAUUGCACAAUGGGCGAAAGCCUGAUGCAGCAACGCCGCGUGAGUGAUGAAGGCCUUCGGGUUGUAAAGCUCUGUCUUCUGGGACGAUAAUGACGGUACCAGAGGAGGAAGCCACGGCUAACUACGUGCCAGCAGCCGCGGUAAUACGUAGGUGGCAAGCGUUGUACGGAUUUACUGGGCGUCAAGGAUGCGUAGGCGGAUACUUAAGUCAGAUGUGAAAAUCCCGGGCUUAACUUGGGAACUGCAUUUGAAACUGGGUAUCUAGAGUGCGGGAGAGGAUAGUGGAAUUCCUAGUGUAGCGGUGAAAUGCGUAGAGAUUAGGAAGAACACCAGUGGCGAAGGCGACUUUCUGGACCGUAACUGACGCUGAGGCAUGAAAGCGUGGGGAGCAAACA
RNAcentral lists this ribosomal RNA (401 nucleotides) under uncultured bacterium. RNAcentral describes it as "bacterial SSU rRNA". It matches the Rfam family "Bacterial small subunit ribosomal RNA", at positions 356 to 774 of the family's 1533-position model. The record is from RNAcentral.